AGAUAGUGAAGGCGUUAAAAAUAAGAUAGUGGAAUAGAAAUCACACUAAAACAUAACCAGAUUUUGAAGAAGACCUUAUGUAUAAGUCAUCUUUCAUAUUAAAAAAAAUCAUCUUUAUGUGUCAAAAUCCUAAAUUAAUAUCGGAUGGGAAUAAAAGAUAAUCCUAUGGAUGGAGUGACAGUAACCUGCGUGUUAGUAGAUCCUUCCACUGGGUUUGCAGUUUUGAUCAGCGCCCCAGACAUGUGACGGAUCUCACUGAUUUUGGCGCCUUGAUGUUCGAUUACGCAGCCAAUCAAAUCGUUUGGAAUGGUGAGUUCUUGAGAAGUAGUCUGAGCAGAUGCAUCCAAACCACUGAAUCCGGUGUUGUCAUGCAUCAUGGGAAAAUGAGACUGUUGCACUGCCAACUGGUGCAGCUUGGUCAAAUCUGGCUGUGGAAUGGCAUACUGUCCUUGAAUGGUAUAGGCCUGACCACCUGCAAAGAUGAUCGGAGAACUGGACAGCUUGGGCCGGUACGGGAUGGUCACGCCCUUCUGGGGGUACUACAACAUGAUGACGCACAUCUGUUUCACACACUCAAUGAUGGAUUGCGGGAUGCCAGCAAUAGUAAUGGCCCGCUCAGUGGAGAUGGGAAGCAUGCCCCCUGCCACCUGGACCUGAGCCCCUGUACUCUCUUGAAUCUCUUGAUCUUGCAACCACCUUUUCCAAUGAGAGAGCCACACUCACUAGCAGGGACCACCAGUCUCAGGGCGACUGGGGGUCUGCUGGCAGCUGUUCUGUUGGUCAUAGAGCUGCUGAUGUCCUCUUCCAAUUUGUCAGGAAUCACAGCAAAGCCUUUGAAGAUGGCAUUAGUGGGUCCAGCCAAAGUGAUAAUUCUCUCAGGACAAUUCUCUUCUGAGAUGUUGAUACAUGCACCACUCUCCUCGCGCAUCUUAACUGAUUCUCCUUUCUUUCUGAUGAUACUGCCAACUUCUUUUCCAUUUAUAAGUAGCCGGAUGGUGACAGUGACAUAUAAUCCACCUCCAAUCUCACUCGUGCCCAUGUGGAGCAGUGUUCUGGGAGCUGGACUUUGGUCAAGUCUUUGGUCACUGGUGGGAGGUGAAAGCCAAAAACUGCAGGUGCGAGGCGACUGAGCCGAAAAGGGGAGCGGGUGGGAAGAGGAAGGGCAGGAGGCCGGGGGGGCGGGGGGGGAAUAGAGGUGGGCGGGAAGGCAAGCGCUCCCCUCCCCCGCACCCCACGAGAGGAAGUUGGG
RNAcentral lists this long non-coding RNA (1249 nucleotides) under Sus scrofa (pig). RNAcentral describes it as "lncRNA (ENSSSCG00070017690.1)". Lineage: Eukaryota; Metazoa; Chordata; Mammalia; Artiodactyla; Suidae. The record is from RNAcentral.